Egretta garzetta (little egret) is the source of this 1461-nucleotide RNA transcript. It is a transcript of the gene named eukaryotic translation initiation factor 4E family member 2, with no coding region annotated. Lineage: Eukaryota; Metazoa; Chordata; Aves; Pelecaniformes; Ardeidae. The record is from RefSeq and is a predicted model, not a curated record. The transcript has 8 exons.
CCGCCAGAGCCCACACUCAAGAUGGCGGCCGGGAGCGCUCUUUUUCCCUGUCCCCUUAGGCCCUUCCGUCAUGCUCCGUGCUUAUGGCGCCGGAAGCGGCGGGAGGCUUUAGAGAGCGGACUCGGCGGAGCGGAAGUCGCUGAGGUGGACGGAGGUGGCGGCAGCGAGCGACGAUGAACAACAAAUUCGACGCAUUGAAAGAUGAUGAUAGUGGAGACCAUGACCAGAAUGAGGAGAAUAACACACAGAAAGACAGUGAGAAGGAAAAGAAUGAUCGAGAGAAACCACAGAGUACUACCAAGAGGAAGGCUGUUGUCCCAGGGCCAGCUGAGCACCCCUUGCAGUAUAAUUACACCUUCUGGUACUCCAGACGAACACCCGGGAGGCCUACCAGCUCGCAGAGUUAUGAACAGAAUAUCAAACAGAUUGGCACCUUUGCCUCCGUGGAGCAGUUCUGGCGGUUUUACAGUCACAUGGUACGUCCUGGGGACCUGACAGGCCAUAGUGACUUCCAUCUUUUUAAAGAAGGGAUCAAACCCAUGUGGGAGGAUGAUGCCAACAAAAAUGGUGGUAAAUGGAUUAUCCGUCUGCGAAAGGGCUUAGCGUCACGAUGCUGGGAGAAUCUCAUUCUGGCAAUGUUGGGAGAACAGUUUAUGGUGGGGGAAGAAAUCUGUGGGGCAGUCGUCUCUGUCCGAUUCCAGGAGGAUAUUAUCUCAAUAUGGAACAAGACAGCCAGCGACCAGGCCACAACAGCCCGGAUACGCGAUACGUUACGAAGAGUGCUCAACCUACCUCCCAACACCAUCAUGGAAUAUAAAACGCACACCGAUAGCAUCAAGAGAGACCAGACCUGUGGCCAUACAGCGGGCUGCCACUGAGCGGGCUGGUCUGGAAGUAUUUUGGUUGCUGUAUGACUUUAUGGAUCAUCCUGUCAGCUCUAAAGCAAGGCUGCUUUUUCUGAAAACAAAGCUCCAGUUAUUUGGAUAAUUCAAGCUUUCGAAACACAAAAAUCACAUUGUGAGAACAAGAGUUGGCACUAAGCUCCUCUCUCCGUGUUGAAAGCACUGAGAGGUCUCCACCAGUGCCCUCUGACCUCUGAAGGGACUCAUGGGCCACUCUCGCACUCCUCCUUGAAGGAAGGAUCCAUCUGAAGCCCUCCAGCAGCGGUGACAAUAGAGGCUGAUUUUGUCAUACACAAACUUUUUUUAGCAGUGGGGCGGGAGGCCAACCUUUCAAUUAGCAGUGUGCCCUUGGGGCCGCAUCUUGCAGCACUUUCCUCUCUUUCUCUACAUGGCAUGCAGGAUCUCUGGGAUUCUGCCUCGACGUCAGAGCCUUUUGCUGAGGGAUACCAGUAUUACAAAUCUCUCUGCAGCUGGGAGGAGCUUCCCAGUUGAGAGUCAGCCCUAUGGUUUUCAAAUGCCCCCUUUCAGCUCUGCCAAUAAAUUAUUGGGUCUCUUUGUU